RNAcentral lists this microRNA precursor (95 nucleotides) under Canis lupus familiaris (dog). RNAcentral's name for it is "mir-8799 microRNA precursor family". It matches the Rfam family "mir-8799 microRNA precursor family". Lineage: Eukaryota; Metazoa; Chordata; Mammalia; Carnivora; Canidae. RNAcentral also lists the same sequence under 1 other name. The record is from Rfam by way of RNAcentral.
AAGGGGAGUGCCAGAUCCUGGGCUAUGUCCCCUGGGGCCUUGGGAUCCAGGACCUGUGCCGCUGGAAUUGCGCUCCCAGGGCCCCGCAUCCCCCU